AUACUUAGGGUCGGUACUUGAGGCAACACACUCGACUCUGCUAUAAUUCUGUCUAGCAACAGUUAAGAGUCGAGUUAACCCAAUAACCCUAUUUAAUUCCUGAGUUUACUUCGUCAUUUGGGUUUUCCUUUCAAAAACCAGGAAAUGACCGAUGUGUUGGGUGUCGAGUCCGGCUUUUUUUUUU
This 184-nucleotide non-coding RNA is filed under the name Megastigmus stigmatizans. The record is from RNAcentral. Lineage: Eukaryota; Metazoa; Arthropoda; Insecta; Hymenoptera; Megastigmidae.